AUGGGAAACUACUGCUCGGCGUCUCCAGCAAUCAAGCAGCGGCCAAGGCCGGGCUCCCGGGCUCCGUGCGGCAUCGUCUCUUCCUUCCCCGCCGUCAUCUGUCAGCGUCAUCGUCGUGGUCUGGCCCUUCGCGCCACAACGGUAGAAGAUAGCGACAGAGUGGGAAGGUUUGUGCAAAUAUCUUCUCCUCCAUCCCCGUCCGCGUCAAAGCUGCUGGGUGCAUCCAUCCAACAUCUUCAGAUCUGA
RNAcentral lists this ribosomal RNA (246 nucleotides) under Triticum aestivum (bread wheat). RNAcentral's name for it is "partial small subunit ribosomal RNA". Lineage: Eukaryota; Viridiplantae; Streptophyta; Magnoliopsida; Poales; Poaceae. The record is from RNAcentral.